RNAcentral lists this unclassified non-coding RNA (2144 nucleotides) under Daphnia magna. Its description in RNAcentral is "endophilin-A, transcript variant X3". The record is from RNAcentral. Lineage: Eukaryota; Metazoa; Arthropoda; Branchiopoda; Diplostraca; Daphniidae.
CGUCAUCCUAGGAAGCAGUUCCAGCGGCCGACGUCGAUAGUCUCGGAUGCCGAAGUAGUGCCGCUUGUGGUCUUCGACAUUCGAUUAGAAUUAGUGAAAUUCAGUGUUAUCAAUCUCUAAUUAAGCCUCAAUACUCAACCUAUCAACACAAACUUACAAACGAAGAAGUGGAUGCCAAACAGUGAAAACACGACAGUAUUGCUUCUGUUGCUGUCUAAAACGAGGAACCCAGAAAGGCCAGUCCAAAGGAGAGCAUCAUGGCGUUCGCCGGUCUGAAGAAACAGAUCAAUAAAGCCAACCAAUAUGUGACGGAGAAGAUGGGUGCCGCGGAAGGCACAAAAAUGGACGAUGACUUCGUCGAGAUGGAAAGGAAAACGGAUGUUACCUAUGAGCUUGUGGAGGAACUCCAAAUGAAAACCAAGGAGUUCUUGCAACCCAAUCCUACUGCUCGAGCCAAAAUGGCUGCAGUCAAAGCAGGAAUUAGCAAACUAAGCGGACAAGCCAAAGCAGCAACCUACCCGCAGCCGGAAGGAACCCUUGGGGAGACGAUGUUGGUCUAUGGACGCAAACUGGGCGAGGAAUCUGUUUUCGGCGCUGCGCUCAUCGAGUCCGGUGAAACAAUGAAGCAGUUGGCCGAUGUUAAAUACGCCUUGGACGAUAACGUCAAGCAGAAUUUCCUGGAGCCGCUGCAUCAUUUGCAAAGCAAAGACUUGAAAGAAGUUUUGCAUCACCGCAAGAAGUUACAUGGUCGCCGUUUGGAUUUCGAUUGUAAAAAACGCAAGCAGACCAAAGGAGGUAGUAGCGGUAACCUCCAAUCCAGCAGUCCUUAUGGGAGCCCUGCACGUUCUCCCUCACCCUACCGGGGCACUGGCUCGUCUGUGACUGAGGAUGAGAUUCGUCAAGCGGAGGAGAAAUUUGCCGAAUCGCUUCAUCUGGCCCAGAUGGGAAUGCAUAACAUUCUGGAUAACGAUGUGGAGCAAAUUGCGCAAUUGGCUUUCUUUGCCGAAGGACUGCUCGAGUACCACAAACAGUGUACUGAUAUUCUGAAAGUGCUAACAGAAACACUUCAUGACAAACGGAAUGAAGCAGCAAGCAAGCCCCGCAAGGAAUUUAUCCCCAAGACAUUGGCCGAUUUGCCAAUGUCAAUGGGUGGAGAAAUGAUAUCUUCAACUGGUCGUACUACACCGUCGAGUCUAACGGAGGGACUGAAUGGAAUGAAUAACGCCAAAACACCCAGCGCAGUGUCUCCGGGUUCAGCACCUGGCUGGGACCCGUUCGGUCAGAAUGCUCCUGUACCGCAAGGUCGUACCAACUCUAGGCCACAGCCUAGUGCUACAGCUGUUUACGAUUUUGAUCCUGAAAACCCUGGUGAAUUGGGUUUCAAGGAAGGAGAUUGCAUCACUCUCACCAGCCGUAUUGACGAGAACUGGUUCGAAGGUAGUCUCAAUGGCAAAACGGGUUUCUUUCCCGUCAAUUAUGUGCAUGUGACGGUGCCGCUUCCUUAAUGAUACAAUAAAGAAAAAUUGGUGGUAAAGAAUACGGAGUGCUGAGCCGAUUAUGCCGAAAGAAACCAGACAACAAGAAAACACAUAGCAACCGGGUUGUAUUACUUUUUGUUUGCCCUUUUGUUAUCAAACAAGAUCAGCAGUUGUGUUCUUGCUUCGUUAAAUUUAGCAUCCAGUCGUAUCCAUUUUACAUCACGUGUUAAAUAAAAAAUUACUAAAUUCUGAGUGUUAUUCAGGUUCGGAAUGUUGGACUAUCCGAUUUCUGAUUUCUGACUAAAUGUUUUACUCUUUGUCUUUUCUCCCUGUCUUUACGUUCUUCCCUCUUCCUACUUAAUCCUCUUGCUCGGGGAAUAUAUAAUUCUAACCAGUUCACUGCAGUAUAAUUCAAAUUUAGUUUGGAGCUAAUAGUUAUCAUUAUCUCCUUUUUCUUGUUUGGCAAACAUUCUCUAUCCGUCGUUUACAAGCAUAAUAUGGUAACUGUAUUCUCUUCUCAUAAUCAGCUACAACGCUGUAAUGCCGUUGUAUAAUUUAAGAACCACCACCAUCUUCUGUAUUUUGAAUCUUAUUUCUCUAUAUUACCUGUACUUAGUAAGAAAAAGAAUGUUGUCGUGUGAUUAAAAGGCCGUUGUUUAAAAGGUU